UUAAUUGAAGCCAAAAUUAGAGGCAUAUCAUUGUUAAUGAUAAUAUUGAAUAUUAAAUUCCAAUUAAA
Molecule: transfer RNA, 68 nt
Filed under: Vermiophis taishanensis
Lineage: Eukaryota; Metazoa; Arthropoda; Insecta; Diptera; Vermileonidae
Description: tRNA-Asn
Source: RNAcentral